This 588-nucleotide small RNA is filed under the name Pongo abelii (Sumatran orangutan). RNAcentral describes it as "processed transcript". Lineage: Eukaryota; Metazoa; Chordata; Mammalia; Primates; Hominidae. The record is from RNAcentral.
AAAGAGGCUGAUCGGUCUUAGCAGAGAGAAAUCCAGGUUGGAGAUGUCAGCGGGUCCAGAGAGAACUCGAUGCCACCGCAACGGUAUUGGCGAACCGGCAGGAUGAAAGCGAGCAGUCCAGAAAGCGGCUUAUCGAACAGAGCCGGGAGUUCAAGAAGAACACUCCAGAGGAUUUGCGCAAGCAGGUAGCGCCGCUGCUGAAGAGUUUCCAAGGAGAGAUUGAUGCACUGAGUAAAAGAAGCAAGGAAGCUGAAGCAGCUUUCUUGAAUGUCUACAAAAGAUUGAUUGACGUCCCAGAUCCCGUACCAGCUUUGGAUCUCGGACAGCAACUCCAGCUCAAAGUGCAGCGCCUGCACGAUAUUGAAACAGAGAACCAGAAACUUAGGGAAACUCUGGAAGAAUACAACAAGGAAUUUGCUGAAGUGAAAAAUCAAGAGGUUACGAUAAAAGCACUUAAAGAGAAAAUCCGAGAAUAUGAACAGACACUGAAGAACCAAGCCGAAACCAUAGCUCUUGAGAAGGAACAGAAGUUACAGAAUGACUUUGCAGAAAAGGAGAGAAAGCUGCAGGAGACACAGAUGUCCACCA